GACGAACGCUGGCGGCGUGCCUAAUACAUGCAAGUAGAACGCUGAAGGAGGAGCUUGCUUCUCCGGAUGAGUUGCGAACGGGUGAGUAACGCGUAGGUAACCUGCCUGGUAGCGGGGGAUAACUAUUGGAAACGAUAGCUAAUACCGCAUAAGAGUAGAUGUUGCAUGACAUUUGCUUAAAAGGUGCAAUUGCAUCACUACCAGAUGGACCUGCGUUGUAUUAGCUAGUUGGUGGGGUAACGGCUCACCAAGGCGACGAUACAUAGCCGACCUGAGAGGGUGAUCGGCCACACUGGGACUGAGACACGGCCCAGACUCCUACGGGAGGCAGCAGUAGGGAAUCUUCGGCAAUGGACGGAAGUCUGACCGAGCAACGCCGCGUGAGUGAAGAAGGUUUUCGGAUCGUAAAGCUCUGUUGUAAGAGAAGAACGAGUGUGAGAGUGGAAAGUUCACACUGUGACGGUAUCUUACCAGAAAGGGACGGCUAACUACGUGCCAGCAGCCGCGGUAAUACGUAGGUCCCGAGCGUUGUCCGGAUUUAUUGGGCGUAAAGCGAGCGCAGGCGGUUAGAUAAGUCUGAAUUUAAAGGCUGUGGCUUAACCAUAGUACGCUUUGGAAACUGUUUUAACUUGAGUGCAAGAGGGGAGAGUGGAAUUUCCAUGUGUAGCGGUGAAAUGCGUAAAUAUAUGGAGGAACACUGGUGGGGAAAGCGGAUCUCUGGCUUGUAACUGAGCUGA
This 737-nucleotide ribosomal RNA is filed under the name uncultured Streptococcus sp. Its description in RNAcentral is "bacterial SSU rRNA". It matches the Rfam family "Bacterial small subunit ribosomal RNA", at positions 28 to 749 of the family's 1533-position model. The record is from RNAcentral. Lineage: Bacteria; Bacillati; Bacillota; Bacilli; Lactobacillales; Streptococcaceae.